RNAcentral lists this ribosomal RNA (449 nucleotides) under uncultured bacterium. RNAcentral describes it as "partial 16S ribosomal RNA". It matches the Rfam family "Bacterial small subunit ribosomal RNA", at positions 354 to 796 of the family's 1533-position model. The record is from RNAcentral.
GUCGAGAAUCUUUCACAAUGGGGGCAACCCUGAUGGAGCGACGCCGCGUGGAGGAUAAGGUCUUCGGAUUGUAAACUCCUGUCAUGCGUGAACAAGGUUGCUUGGUUAAUACCUGGGCAAAUUGAUGGUAACGCAAGAGGAAGAGACGGCUAACUCUGUGCCAGCAGCCGCGGUAAUACAGAGGUCUCAAGCGUUGUUCGGAAUCACUGGGCGUAAAGGGUGCGUAGGUGGCGUGGUAAGUCAGAUGUGAAAGCACGGGGCUCAACCUCGGAACUGCAUCCGAUACUGCCAUGCUAGAGUACUGGAGAGGUGACUAGAAUUCUCGGUGUAGCAGUGAAAUGCGUAGAUAUCGAGAGGAAUACCAAAGGCGUAGGCAGGUCACUGGACAGUUACUGACACUGAGGCAUGAAGGCCAGGGGAGCGAACGGGAUUAGAAACCCCGGUAGUCC